This 70-nucleotide microRNA precursor is filed under the name Chlorocebus sabaeus (green monkey). RNAcentral describes it as "miRNA (ENSCSAG00000021453.1)". Lineage: Eukaryota; Metazoa; Chordata; Mammalia; Primates; Cercopithecidae. The record is from RNAcentral.
AGUAGAGAUGGGGUUUCACCAUGUUGGCCAGGCUGGUUUCAAACUCCUCACCUCAGGUGAUCCAUCUGCC